Molecule: ribosomal RNA, 241 nt
Filed under: Pseudomonas syringae pv. syringae
Lineage: Bacteria; Pseudomonadati; Pseudomonadota; Gammaproteobacteria; Pseudomonadales; Pseudomonadaceae
Description: partial 23S ribosomal RNA
Rfam family: Bacterial large subunit ribosomal RNA
Source: RNAcentral
CUCUGGUGUUCCGGUUGUCACGCCAGUGGCAUUGCCGGGUAGCUAUGUUCGGAAAAGAUAACCGCUGAAAGCAUCUAAGCGGGAAACUUGCCUCAAGAUGAGAUCUCACUGGAACCUUGAGUUCCCUAAAGGGCCGUCGAAGACUACGACGUUGAUAGGUUGGGUGUGUAAGCGCUGUGAGGCGUUGAGCUAACCAAUACUAAUUGCCCGUGAGGCUUGACCAUAUAACACCCAAGCAAUU